UACGGAGGAUGCAAGCGUUAUCCGGAAUGAUUGGGCGUAAAGCGUCCGUAGGUGGCUAUUCAAGUCUGCUGUUAAAGCGCAGGGCUUAACCCUGUAAAGGCGGUGGAAACUGGAGAGCUAGAGUGUGGUAGGGGUAGAGGGAAUUCCCGGUGUAGCGGUGAAAUGCGUAGAGAUCAGGAAGAACAUCGGUGGCGAAGGCGCUCUGCUGGACCAUAACUGACACUCAGGGACGAAAGCUAGGGGAGCGAAUGGG
Molecule: ribosomal RNA, 253 nt
Filed under: uncultured bacterium
Lineage: Bacteria
Description: partial 16S ribosomal RNA
Rfam family: Bacterial small subunit ribosomal RNA
Source: RNAcentral